GUAGGGAAUAUUGGGCAAUGGACGGAAGUCUGACCCAGCCAUGCCGCGUGCAGGAUGAAGGCGCUCAGCGUUGUAAACUGCUUUUAUCUGGGAAGAACGGCAGUCCUGCGGGAUUGUGUGACGGUACCAGAGGAAUAAGCACCGGCUAACUCCGUGCCAGCAGCCGCGGUAAUACGGAGGGUGCAAGCGUUGUCCGGAUUUAUUGGGUUUAAAGGGUGCGUAGGUGGUAUUGUAAGUCUGGUUUGAAAGCUGGUCGCUUAACGAUCAGAUGUGGCUGGAAACUGCGGUACUUGAAUGGAUUGGCGGUAGCCGGAAUGGGUCAUGUAGCGGUGAAAUGCAUAGAUAUGACCCGGAACACCGAUUGCGAAGGCAGGCUACUACGAUUUGAUUGACACUGAGGCACGAGAGCAUGGGUAGCGAACAGG
Molecule: ribosomal RNA, 425 nt
Filed under: uncultured Cytophagaceae bacterium
Lineage: Bacteria; Pseudomonadati; Bacteroidota; Cytophagia; Cytophagales; Cytophagaceae
Description: bacterial SSU rRNA
Rfam family: Bacterial small subunit ribosomal RNA
Source: RNAcentral